This 497-nucleotide ribosomal RNA is filed under the name uncultured bacterium. RNAcentral's name for it is "partial 16S ribosomal RNA". It matches the Rfam family "Bacterial small subunit ribosomal RNA", at positions 28 to 507 of the family's 1533-position model. The record is from RNAcentral.
GAUGAACGCUGGCGGCGUGCCUAGUACAUGCAAGUCGAGCGAACGGACGAGAAGCUUGCUUCUCUGAUGUUAGCGGCGGACGGGUGAGUAACACGUGGAUAACCUACCUAUAAGACUGGGAUAACUUCGGGAAACCGGAGCUAAUACCGGAUGAUAUUUUGAACCGCAUGGUUCAAAAGUGAAAGACGGUCUUGCUGUCACUUAUAGAUGGAUCCGCGCUGCAUUAGCUAGUUGGUAAGGUAACGGCUUACCAAGGCAACGAUGCAUAGCCGACCUGAGAGGGUGAUCGGCCACACUGGAACUGAGACACGGUCCAGACUCCUACGGGAGGCAGCAGUAGGGAAUCUUCUGCAAUGGGCGAAAGCCUGACGGAGCAACGCCGCGUGAGUGAUGAAGGUCUUCGGAUCGUAAAACUCUGUUAUUAGGGAAGAACAUAUGUGUAAGUAACUGUGCACAUCUUGACGGUACCUAAUCAGAAAGCCACGGCUAACUACGUG